RNAcentral lists this ribosomal RNA (439 nucleotides) under uncultured bacterium. Its description in RNAcentral is "partial 16S ribosomal RNA". It matches the Rfam family "Bacterial small subunit ribosomal RNA", at positions 339 to 795 of the family's 1533-position model. The record is from RNAcentral.
CCACGGGGUGCAGCAGUGAGGAAUAUUGCACAAUGGGGGGAACCCUGAUGCAGCAACGCCGCGUGGAGGAUGACGCAUUUCGGUGUGUAAACUCCUUUUAUAUGUCAAGAAAAUGACGGUAGCAUAUGAAUAAGCACCGGCUAACUCCGUGCCAGCAGCCGCGGUAAUACGGAGGGUGCAAGCGUUACUCGGAAUCACUGGGCGUAAAGGACGCGUAGGCGGGUUGGAAAGUCAGGUGUGAAAUCCUACAGCUUAACUGUAGAACUGCACUUGAAACUUCUAAUCUAGAGUAUGGGAGGGGGAGAUGGAAUUAGUGGUGUAGGGGUAAUAUCCGUAGAUAUCACUAGGAAUACCUAAAGCGAAGGCGACCUCCUGGAACAUUACUGACGCUAAGGCGUGAAAGCGUGGGGAGCAAACAGGAUUAGAUACCCUCGUAGUC